UUAAGCGACUAAGCGUACACGGUGGAUGCCCUGGCAGUCAGAGGCGAUGAAGGACGUGCUAAUCUGCGAAAAGCGUCGGUAAGGUGAUAUGAACCGUUACAGCCGGCGAUGUCCGAAUGGGGAAACCCAGUGCAAUUCGUUGCACUAUCGUUAACUGAAUACAUAGGUUAACGAGGCGAACCGGGGGAACUGAAACAUCUAAGUACCCCGAGGAAAAGAAAUCAACCGAGAUUCCCCCAGUAGCGGCGAGCGAACGGGAGCAGCCCAGAGUCUGAAUCAGCUUGUGUGUUAGUGGAACGGUCUGGAAAGUCCGACGGUACAGGGUGAUAGUCCCGUACACCAAAAUGCACAGGUUGUGAACUCGAAGAGUAGGGCGGGACACGUGGUAUCCUGUCUGAAUAUGGGGGGACCAUCCUCCAAGGCUAAAUACUCCUGACUGACCGAUAGUGAAUCAGUACCGUGAGGGAAAGGCGAAAAGAACCCCGGCGAGGGAGUGAAAAGAACCUGAAACCGUGUACGUACAAGCAGUGGGAGCACCUUCGGGUGUGACUGCGUACCUUUGUAUAAUGGGUCAGCGACUUAUAUUCUGUAGCAAGGUUAACCGUAUAGGGGAGCCGCAGGAAACCGAGUCUUAACUGGGCGUUAAGUUGCAGGGUAUAGACCCGAAACCCGGUGAUUCAGCCAUGGGCAGGUUGAAGGUUGGGUAACACUAACUGGAGGACCGAACCGACUAAUGUUGAAAAAUUAGCGGAUGACUUGUGGCUGGGGGUGAAAGGCCAAUCAAACCGGGAGAUAGCUGGUUCUCCCCGAAAGCUAUUUAGGUAGCGCCUCGUGAACUCAUCUUCGGGGGUAGAGCACUGUUUCGGCUAGGGGGUCAUCCCGACUUACCAACCCGAUGCAAACUACGAAUACCGAAGAAUGUUAUCACGGGAGACACACGGCGGGUGCUAACGUCCGUCGUGAAGAGGGAAACAACCCAGACCGCCAGCUAAGGUCCCAAAGUCAUGGUUAAGUGGGAAACGAUGUGGGAAGGCACAGACAGCCAGGAUGUUGGCUUAGAAGCAGCCAUCAUUUAAAGAAAGCGUAAUAGCUCACUGGUCGAGUCGGCCUGCGCGGAAGAUGUAACGGGGCUAAACCAUGCACCGAAGCUGCGGCAGCGACACUAUGUGUUGUUGGGUAGGGGAGCGUUCUGUAAGCCUGCGAAGGUGACCUGUGAGGGUUGCUGGAGGUAUCAGAAGUGCGAAUGCUGACAUAAGUAACGAUAAAGCGGGUGAAAAGCCCGCUCGCCGGAAGACCAAGGGUUCCUGUCCAACGUUAAUCGGGGCAGGGUGAGUCGACCCCUAAGGCGAGGCCGAAAGGCGUAGUCGAUGGGAAACAGGUUAAUAUUCCUGUACUUGGUGUUACUGCGAAGGGGGGACGGAGAAGGCUAUGUUAGCCGGGCGACGGUUGUCCCGGUUUAAGCAUGUAGGCUGGUUAUCCAGGCAAAUCCGGAUAAUCAAGGCUGAGGUGUGAUGACGAGGCACUACGGUGCUGAAGUAACAAAUGCCCUGCUUCCAGGAAAAGCCUCUAAGCAUCAGGUAACAUCAAAUCGUACCCCAAACCGACACAGGUGGUCAGGUAGAGAAUACCAAGGCGCUUGAGAGAACUCGGGUGAAGGAACUAGGCAAAAUGGUGCCGUAACUUCGGGAGAAGGCACGCUGGUGUGUAGGUGAAGUCCCUGCGGAUGGAGCUGAGACCAGUCGAAGAUACCAGCUGGCUGCAACUGUUUAUUAAAAACACAGCACUGUGCAAACACGAAAGUGGACGUAUACGGUGUGACGCCUGCCCGGUGCCGGAAGGUUAAUUGAUGGGGUUAUCCGUAAGGAGAAGCUCUUGAUCGAAGCCCCGGUAAACGGCGGCCGUAACUAUAACGGUCCUAAGGUAGCGAAAUUCCUUGUCGGGUAAGUUCCGACCUGCACGAAUGGCGUAAUGAUGGCUGUCUCCACCCGAGACUCAGUGAAAUUGAACUCGCUGUGAAGAUGCAGUGUACCCGCGGCAAGACGGAAAGACCCCGUGAACCUUUACUAUAGCUUGACACUGAACAUUGAGCCUUGAUGUGUAGGAUAGGUGGGAGGCUUUGAAGCGUGGACGCCAGUCUGCGUGGAGCCAACCUUGAAAUACCACCCUUUAAUGUUUGAUGUUCUAACGUUGGCCCCUUACCGGGGUUGCGGACAGUGUCUGGUGGGUAGUUUGACUGGGGCGGUCUCCUCCCAAAGCGUAACGGAGGAGCACGAAGGUUAGCUAAUCCUGGUCGGACAUCAGGAGGUUAGUGCAAUGGCAUAAGCUAGCUUGACUGCGAGCGUGACGGCGCGAGCAGGUGCGAAAGCAGGUCAUAGUGAUCCGGUGGUUCUGAAUGGAAGGGCCAUCGCUCAACGGAUAAAAGGUACUCCGGGGAUAACAGGCUGAUACCGCCCAAGAGUUCAUAUCGACGGCGGUGUUUGGCACCUCGAUGUCGGCUCAUCACAUCCUGGGGCUGAAGUAGGUCCCAAGGGUAUGGCUGUUCGCCAUUUAAAGUGGUACGCGAGCUGGGUUUAGAACGUCGUGAGACAGUUCGGUCCCUAUCUGCCGUGGGCGCUGGAGAAUUGAGGGGGCUGCUCCUAGUACGAGAGGACCGGAGUGGACGCAUCACUGGUGUUCGGGUUGUCAUGCCAAUGGCACUGCCCGGUAGCUAAAUGCGGAAGAGAUAAGUGCUGAAAGCAUCUAAGCACGAAACUUGCCCCGAGAUGAGUUCUCCCUGAGACUUUAAGUCUCCUGAAGGAACGUUAAAGACGAUGACGUUGAUAGGCCGGGUGUGUAAGCGCAGCGAUGCGUUGAGCUAACCGGUACUAAUGAACCGUGAGGCUUAACCU
RNAcentral lists this ribosomal RNA (2888 nucleotides) under Klebsiella pneumoniae. RNAcentral's name for it is "bacterial LSU rRNA". It matches the Rfam family "Bacterial large subunit ribosomal RNA". The record is from RNAcentral. Lineage: Bacteria; Pseudomonadati; Pseudomonadota; Gammaproteobacteria; Enterobacterales; Enterobacteriaceae.